RNAcentral lists this transfer RNA (57 nucleotides) under Bos taurus (domestic cattle). It matches the Rfam family "tRNA", at positions 8 to 63 of the family's 71-position model. From Rfam's summary of the family: Transfer RNA (tRNA) molecules are approximately 80 nucleotides in length. Their secondary structure includes four short double-helical elements and three loops (D, anti-codon, and T loops). Lineage: Eukaryota; Metazoa; Chordata; Mammalia; Artiodactyla; Bovidae. The record is from Rfam by way of RNAcentral. RNAcentral also lists the same sequence under 3 other names.
UGGCUCAGAUGGUAAAGAAUCUGCCUGUAAUGCAGAAGACCCGGGUUCGAUCCCUGG